GUAUAGAGGGUGAAUUCUGCCCAAUGGUUGUAUAGUGAAACUGAGGACUAACGUCUAAAGCGAAACCCAACUGAAUGGCCGCGGUAACUCUGACCGUGAUAAUGUAGCACAAUAAAUAGCCAAUUAAUUGUUGGCGGGUAUGAAUGGAACCACGAGGGUCUUACUGUCUCAAGAGGAAAGCCGAUGAAAUUAUAAUUGUAGUGAAGAUACUACAUAAACAUUGUAAGACGAAAAGACCCUAUCGAGCUUUACUGGAUACCGAUAGCGUUAAUUUAGAAUGAUCGAUACUAAGUAUCCUAAUUCUAAGUUAAUAAUUUUUGUUGGUAGGACAGUUUAGUUGGGGCGACUACCUUUGAAUAAGAAACGAAGGCGAGCUUAUGGUAUUAUUUAAAAUCUCAUUAGCCUCACAGUGAGGGGGACACCCCUAGCUGGCACACCGUAAGGGAUGUGGGCGAUAGUGACCCGAUAUGAUUAUCCAAAAUAAAUAUCGAAAGCGGAUAAAAGCUACCGUAGGGAUAACAGCGUAAUAUUGUCGGAGAGUUCUUAUCGAGGACAGUGUUUGCGAACUC
This 569-nucleotide ribosomal RNA is filed under the name Lepidisis sp. USNM 100897. RNAcentral's name for it is "partial 16S ribosomal RNA". It matches the Rfam family "Bacterial large subunit ribosomal RNA", at positions 1843 to 2527 of the family's 2925-position model. The record is from RNAcentral. Lineage: Eukaryota; Metazoa; Cnidaria; Anthozoa; Scleralcyonacea; Keratoisididae.